Molecule: non-coding RNA, 3296 nt
Organism: Gasterosteus aculeatus aculeatus (three-spined stickleback)
Lineage: Eukaryota; Metazoa; Chordata; Actinopteri; Perciformes; Gasterosteidae
Source: RefSeq, a predicted model, not a curated record
GUCUGCAAAGAGACGGAGACAGAACGGUGCUUAAUAGUGGUCGCACUGUUAUCUCAGACUUGAGGCAGUGAAGUCUGCAGUCAGCUGGAUCACUGAAUAGAAAGCAAACAACUGUCAGAGGAGCUGAUAAAAUGAUGAAACAGAAAGAGAAAGCCAUUUGACUUCAUUUGGAUGCCACGUACGCUAGUUCUAAUUACUCAGAUCGUAAGAAAGGGUGUUCAAAGAUUAAAAAAAAAAAAAAAAACGUAGUCUGCUGCAGCUGAAUCAUCUCCUCUAACAUAAGACAGGAAAGUGCUCUAUGGAGUCAGUCAGUAAAUUACUUCUAAAUGAAGCCUGUUUGCGUUGGUUGCAUUCCUUGCCAUCCAUAGUAAAGUAUCACUCUACAGCGAGUCAUCAAUGGCAUCCAACAUGUGUCCGUAGCAGUAAGAGUGGUCACAUAAACCCCCCUGAUCUGCCCUCAGGCGGCUCACAGCCUCAUCCUGCUCGACACGGGGCUCACCGUAACACCGCUGGAUGUGCUCCACCUCCCUGCCUCCCUCCUGGCCUGCUGGCUGGGGUAAAAUUGGCCUGCCACCCUGACAGAGACCCCUGCUUACUGCAGAGCAGGGGCAAGAGCAACUACCUGGUGUGUCCCUGCUGGGCUACUGUACAAACGUGAAUGUGUAACAGGAUGAACCAGCUCCCUAUGUAGAUAUGAAGGGAUCCUUAUUCUCAGGUGAGUAUACACGAAUGGCAUCAUUGUCAAAAUAGACAAUGGAAGUUGUUUGCAUGAAUAAACCAAUAUAAAAUGAAAUGAAACUGCACUAAACCAAUUAACAUUCAAAAUCAAAGCAGUAUUCUCUUUGAGUCCUUCCAGAACUGCACAUCUUAACUGAAACCACUUCUCUGAUUCAUCUACUCUUCCCUCCUACCAUCGGUCCUCUGAUGGUCUCGGCCGUCAUGAGAACCCCAGCCAGCACCAACAAAACCACCAACAGCGGCCAUUUCCGUGUUUCAUGCCAUUUCAUCAGAGAGAGAGACACUUGCUGAAGGGAGGCUUUAAGUUAAGUACGUAUAGCUUAAUGUGGCUCUGGGAAGGCCUCUCCCUUGGGGAUACAGACAGCAGCAGGCAUGCUAACGGCUUAGCCGCACGACUGAUCGGGAUACCGAGCCAGUGGCGGCCUACUCUCUCCGAUUUAUGAGAAGAUCGGAAUUACACCACCUAACAAAACUGUAUGUGUGGGGGUCUUGCAGAGACGGAUUCCUCUGCUGCACAUCACUUCAUCCCAUUGGAUUACGAAUGGACAGAUUUUGUUGCAAUACCUCCAGGACAUGAAGGAGGACCGGAGCUGCUGAGAGGAUGAUAACAUGUCGCAGGGGAUAACAGCGGAUGAGGGCUUAUCUUCAUCCGUAGGCUUUGGAGGCUGUCAUCUGACGUCGGCAGAGGUGAAGGAAAUGAGAGACUUGGAGGAGCAAACGAAAAAGGGAGAGGAGAGACUGUUGGAGGGAACAACAGGACGUGAGGACAGAAGGUGCACCAGGAAUUAUUUGGAUCCGCUGGGAAGGAAGGUCCUAGAGGGGGAUAUCCAGUGAGAUUUGGAGAGCAAGGAGUCAAAGAGACCAAAGAGGCAGCGCAUAGAGACCGUCCAAGCGCCUAGGAUAUAAUGUGGCUAAGAGAGAGGUGGAGUCAGAGAGGUCUUUGUGCUAGAUGUUUGGGAUGUUCUUUAUUCCCUGGCGCUGGCCCAAUCCUUAAAUCGGCCUGGGCGGGUUUGAACCCAUGGCUUUUGGAAAGAGCAGCAGGCUCCUGAGGCGACACAUGGCCAUAACAAAGAGCCAGGCAAAAUGCCCAGUAAGUCACAAAAGCUCUAUCCCUAAGGUCAUCUGUAGAAUCCAGCAUGUCCUGCCCCUCCUCCCCCCCAUCGCCUCUACCAAUCAGCAUGCCAUACCACAGCGCUAAUAACCUCCAUCAUACGGUUCUUAUAUUCAAGCCCCCUCGUUUUAUUCCUGUGCUCCAGCACGAAGGCUCAUAUGAGGUGGGCGACCCUCUCAACACACGCGUGUCCACCCCUUUGCUGUCAUUCUGAAAGCUGCACUAAUGUUUCUAUCCCCAGGGAAUCCAGUGCGCGCCACUCACCGGAUGUAGGACGUUGAAAAGGGAGUCUGUCUGUGAUGGUCACACUGUUCAGCCCCAUCGUCUUCAGCUAACCUUGGUUUGAGUCCAAUCAUCUGCCUGCUCCGGUUCAGCGGCCCAUGCAUUCUCUUUUUGUUCAUGUUAUAGUGUUCCCACGAUUUCAUUUUCAAAUGGUGUAUGUGAUUAGGUACAAUGGGAGCGUGUCAUAAAGAAACACUCAUACACCAUGUGAGCCCCUGAUGUCCCUCUGUCUCAGGCAGGGGGCAGUAAAUAUGGAGUUGACUCCCCUGGAGCUUCUUCACAAGGCCAGACACUGACCCUGGUAAGAGAACUUCUUGAGCAUGGGAAAGACACACAAGGAACAGCAAAUAAAUACUGAUAAGGUACCUCUUAUUUAGCCCAUUAAAAAGUUAUCUUAAGUUCAAAGUGGAAUUCUUCUGCUCAUGACUUUUGAUACCUCUACUUCAGAGAGGUAGUUAGUGAACUGGGGAAUCCAGCCGAGGAACAAUAUGUUCAAAGUCAAACAAAUCCAGUUUAUUCUUCUUGGCCUUCAGAACUUUCUGACCAACAUGACUCAUAAACGAUAGGAAGCCAACUGAAGCCAAGAAACAAAUUGGCUGUGUUUGAUGCCUAGCUACAUUUCCUAAAUGAGUACAGAAAAGGCAGGUUCUACGCCAUCUUUUCUGCUUUGUGCAUUUUUGUUGGAAGGUCUUUGUGAAGAGUCCGUACUUGUAUAUAAGUGCUGCUAUUAACUGGGAGGCUGUUCUGCCAAGUCAAACACCGGCGCUACUCAAGUACGCUAAAUAAUCAAAUCAUUUCACUGAAAAGUAAUGGGUUUGUCCCAGAAGAAUGGAACCCUGGUCUGUCUCUUUCUCUGAGCUGGGUCACACAACAAAUGUUCCUAAGAGGCUUCUGACUUUAUGUUGCUGGAGUCCUCGGAGGGCAGAAAGAACAUCAGAGACUAUUUAACCAACCAGUUGAACCUCUUCCAUUCCCCCUCACUGCCACAGACGUGUUCUUGUCUUUUAUAGGGGGGCGUUGACGGGGUGAUAGCAGGACAGCAGUAGAUGACACAUAGAGGUGGUGUACAUCAUCUAAAAGCUGGGAACUUGUAGAGUAAUUCCAGCAGUGUGUAUUUAAUAUACAUCUGUAUUGUGUGUAUCUGUCAUAAACCUAUUGAAAUGUU